GAACUUUUUUUUAAUAUAAAGGAAAGCUCUUGUAAUUGACUUUUAUGGGGCCUCCCA
This 57-nucleotide ribosomal RNA is filed under the name Mucor plumbeus. Its description in RNAcentral is "partial 28S ribosomal RNA". The record is from RNAcentral. Lineage: Eukaryota; Fungi; Mucoromycota; Mucoromycetes; Mucorales; Mucoraceae.